This 1347-nucleotide long non-coding RNA is filed under the name Salmo salar (Atlantic salmon). Its description in RNAcentral is "lncRNA (ENSSSAG00000085987.1, ENSSSAG00000109267.1)". Lineage: Eukaryota; Metazoa; Chordata; Actinopteri; Salmoniformes; Salmonidae. The record is from RNAcentral.
GCUGCACUGAGGGAGGAAGAGGAGGCAAGGAUAACUACACUGAGGAAGAAGAUGCCAGGAUAACUACACUGAGGAAGAGGAGGCCAGGAUAACUACACUGAGGGAGGAAGAGGAGGCCAGGCUAGCUGCACUGAGGGAGGAAGAGGAGGCCAGGAUAACUACACUGAGGGAGGAAGAGGAGGCCAGGCUAGCUGCACUGAGGGAGGAAGAGGAGGCAAGGAUAACUACACUGAGGAAGAAGAUGCCAGGAUAACUACACUGAGGAAGAGGAGGCCAGGAUAACUACACUGAGGGAGGAAGAGGAGGCCAGGCUAGCUGCACUGAGGGAGGAAGAGGAGGCCAGGAUAACUACACUGAGGGAGGAAGAGGAGGCCAGGCUAGCUGCCCUGAGGGAGGAAGAGGAGGCCAGGCUAGCUGCACUGAGGAAGAAGAUGCCAGAAUAACUACACUGAGGAAGAGGAGGCCAGGCUAGCUGCCCUGAGGGAGGAAGAGGAGGCCAGGCUAGCUGCCCUGAGGGAGGAAGAGGAGGCCAGGCUAGCUGCCCUGAAGGGGGAAGAGGAGGCCAGGCUAGCUGCACUGAGGAAGAAGAUGCCAGAAUAACUACACUGAGGAAGAGGAGGCCAGGCUAGCUGCCCUGAAGGGGGAAGAGGACAGGAAGAGCUGGUUGUUGAACAACAAGAUUAAAAGGAUGAAAAGAGAUGUCAUCACUUUCAGACAGACUCUCUCUCUCCCUAUGCUGUUUGUCUGUUGUUUCUCUCUCCAUCCACUCCGUCGAGGUGUCUGUUUUCCACCUCAUUUGCCGCUCUCUUGUUCCUCUCUCUCGGCUGCCUGCAAAAGUUGCAUUUUAAUAGAUUAAUGAAUGUUUGACGGUUUGAUGGACGGGUCAAUAGUGAUGGACCGUGGAAGGUGAAUGCUUACUGUUGUUGAGAAACUGAGAACCAAAUAUUAAUAGGCUUUGUCCACAACUCUCCAAGUCAGAUGACGCCGAGACCAAACGAGAUCCUUUGGGGCAUGCCAGUCUGCUUUAUAGAUUGGCUUUUUUGGCCUUGGUCUUCCAAUCUAUAAGCAUCAUCAGGAAAUACCCCAUAGUGUUCAUCUUGUCUAGCUGAAAUAAAGCAUAAGAGUGAAAAAGGAAAAUGUGCAUAUCAGAAAAAGAAAACAUUUACACUCUGGAGAAAACACUGGAGAUAACAGAGGGAGGAAUGUAUAUAGUGGCUGUGACAAGACUUAGACUCAAUCCCAAUACCCCACCUUAGCCCUCACCCUCCGUUUUGCAGCAUCCAACAAGCCCCAUCGAGUCGUAGUGGUAAACCAAUUCAACUUUGAAUGAGGCAUAGUGCCUUUUCA